RNAcentral lists this ribosomal RNA (783 nucleotides) under uncultured bacterium. RNAcentral describes it as "bacterial SSU rRNA". It matches the Rfam family "Bacterial small subunit ribosomal RNA", at positions 28 to 917 of the family's 1533-position model. The record is from RNAcentral.
GAUGAACGCUAGCUACAGGCUUAACACAUGCAAGUCGAGGGACCGGCGCACGGGUGAGUAACACGUAUCCAACCUGCCCUUUACUCGGGGAUAGCCUUUCGAAAGAAAGAUUAAUACCCGAUGUAAAGGAUGGGGAUGCGUUCCAUUAGGUUGUUGGUGAGGUAACGGCUCACCAAGCCUUCGAUGGAUAGGGGUUCUGAGAGGAAGGUCCCCCACAUUGGAACUGAGACACGGUCCAAACUCCUACGGGAGGCAGCAGUGAGGAAUAUUGGUCAAUGGGCGCGAGCCUGAACCAGCCAAGUAGCGUGAAGGAUGACUGCCUAUGGGUUGUAAACUUCUUUUAUAUUAGAAUAUGUAUAAUAUGAAUAAGGAUCGGCUAACUCCGUGCCAGCAGCCGCGGUAAUACGGAGGAUCCGAGCGUUAUCCGGAUUUAUUGGGUUUAAAGGGAGCGUAGGUGGACUGGUAAGUCAGUUGUGAAAGUUUGCGGCUCAACCGUAAAAUUGCAGUUGAUACUGUCAGUCUUGAGUACAGUAGAGGUGGGCGGAAUUCGUGGUGUAGCGGUGAAAUGCUUAGAUAUCACGAAGAACUCCGAUUGCGAAGGCAGCUCACUGGACUGCAACUGACACUGAUGCUCGAAAGUGUGGGUAUCAAACAGGAUUAGAUACCCUGGUAGUCCACACAGUAAACGAUGAAUACUCGCUGUUUGCAAGGGCCAAGCGAAAGCAUUAAGUAUUCCACCUGGGGAGUACGCCGGCAACGGUGCAACUCAAAUGAAUUGACGGA